CAAUAGCGUAUAUUAAAGUUGUUGCAGUUAAAAAGCUCGUAGUUGGAUUUCUGGUUGAAGCGACCGGUCGGGCGUUGAUUCGUCUGCACUGGAGUCGGUUUUGGCCAUCCUCUAGGAAAGUGCGUCUGGUAUUACGUUAUCGGGCGUAUGAUCCUGGUCUUUUACUGUGAAAAAAUUAGAGUGUUUAAAGCAGGCCUUCGCCUUGAAUACAUUAGCAUGGAAUAAUAAGAUAGGACUUUGGUCUAUUUUGUUGGUUUGCAGACCGAAGUAAUGAUUAAUAGGGAUAGUUGGGGGUAUUUAUAUUCCGAUGUCAGAGGUGAAAUUCUUAGAUUUUCGGAAGAUAAACUUAUGCGAAAGCAUUUACCAAGGAUGUUUUCAUUAA
RNAcentral lists this ribosomal RNA (382 nucleotides) under uncultured eukaryote. RNAcentral's name for it is "partial 18S ribosomal RNA". It matches the Rfam family "Eukaryotic small subunit ribosomal RNA", at positions 592 to 976 of the family's 1831-position model. The record is from RNAcentral.